CUCUAAGUCUCUCAUCUCUCCCUUGAAUGUUUUGGCUUUUUUUGCAGAUUGUACUCGAAACCUCUGUUAGAUUCUCGAAAUUUUUAAGUACAAUUGUAGUCUGCGUUUGCGUUUGUGAUGUUGUUGUUCUACACGUGAUUGUCCAAGGUUUGAUAAACGGGGCUAAAAGAUGCUGGGAUCCAUGAAUUCAGUGGCCUGAUGAAACAUAUCUCGGAGAACCCCUUUGGAGUCACUGGUUUAUAUAUCGAAAGCCAAACUUGACCAAAUCUAUGAAGCAUCUGAGAUA
This is a long non-coding RNA of Camelina sativa (false flax), 286 nucleotides long. RefSeq lists it as uncharacterized. Lineage: Eukaryota; Viridiplantae; Streptophyta; Magnoliopsida; Brassicales; Brassicaceae. The record is from RefSeq and is a predicted model, not a curated record.